RNAcentral lists this long non-coding RNA (1271 nucleotides) under Homo sapiens (human). RNAcentral's name for it is "non-protein coding lnc-MINOS1-1:5". Lineage: Eukaryota; Metazoa; Chordata; Mammalia; Primates; Hominidae. The record is from RNAcentral.
GCGGCGCUGCGCGGCGCGGCUGCCGGGAGUCCCCGGCACGGGUUGCGGGCCGGGGCGGAAAGGUCUCCUGGCUGUCUGAGGUCCAGUCCCCGACUCUGGGCCUGCAGCAGCGAGUGGCGGCGAGGGAACCGCACCCCACAGUCCCCGCGGGCGGGGAUGCGGAAGGCACCGCGGCUGGGAGGGGACCGGCCCUCCGCGCCCCACCCCGUGCACGCGCUCACUCCUGCGGCGCACCCGGAACUGCCGCCGAGCGCGGACCGGCCCGGCCCAGCCCAACCCAGCCCAACCCAGCACUGGGGGAGCGCGCCGGGAGCGGGGCAGGAGCCCAGCGCUGCCGCUCGCUACGGCAGGAUCUGGAGCGCCGCGCUGCACCUGAGCCCGGGCACGAAUUGAGGAGCCUCGGGCUGACGCCAUUUAUUCAGCACCUACUAUGUGCCAGGCCUUGUUUAGGCACCGGAAGAUAACAGAUAAGACAUAAAGAUCCCUGCCGGUAUAGCUGCAGACAGAAUAUCUGUGAGGAUGACACAGAGACAGGAUCUCCCUAUGUUGCCCAAGCUGGUCUCAAACUCCUGGACUCAAGCAAGCCUCCUACCUCGGCCUCCUGAAGUGUUGGGAUUACAGGCAUGAGCCACGGUGCACAGCAAGAGCUUUAACCUUAAUGACCAUUCAUUCUCUACCCCACAUUACCUACAACUGAUACAGCAUGCGAAGAGGGUCUUUGCUUACCCUUCACCUUCCACCAUGAUUGUAAGUUUCCUGAGGCCUCCAAGCCAUGAUUCCUGUUAAGCCUGCAGAACUAUUGCCUGCUCCUGCAGAGGGCUGCUGCCAUGUCAUGAGCACUCUCAAGCAGCUCUAGCGAGGGGUCAUGUCAUGAGGAACUGAGACCUUCUGCCAAUAGCUGUGUGAAUGAGCCAUCAUGGAGGCAGGUCCUCCAGCCCCAGUCAAGCCUUCAGAUGAUGGCAGCCCCAGCUGAUGAUUUGACUGCAAACUCUCAUGCAACCAGGAAUAAGAACCACUCAGCAGAACCACUCCCAAUUUCCUGACCCACAGAAACUGUGAGAUAAAUAAAUAUUGCUUUAAGCUGCUGUGCUUAGGGAUAAUUUGUUACACAGCAAUAGAUAAGUUAUACAUUUUGUAUGACUUUUUUUUUUCUUUUUGAGACAGGGUCUCACUCUGCCACCCAGGUUGGAGUGCAGUGGCAUGAUCACAGCUCACUGCAGCCUCAACCUCCCAGGUUCAAGCGAUACUCUUGCCUCAGCCACCUGAGUAGC